Oryza sativa Indica Group (long-grained rice) is the source of this 206-nucleotide microRNA precursor. It matches the Rfam family "MIR812 microRNA precursor family". NCBI's taxonomy places the organism in Eukaryota, Viridiplantae, Streptophyta, Magnoliopsida, Poales, Poaceae. The record is from Rfam.
AGAAAAAAAAACUCUUCAUUUUCGUGUCCAACGUUUGACUAUCCGUCUUAUAUGAGAUUUUUUUAUAAUUAGUAUUUUUAUUGUUGUUAGAUGAUAAAACAUGAUUAAUACUUUAUGCGUGAUUUGUCUUUUUAAUUUUUUCAUAAUUUUUUUAAAUAAGACGGACGGUCAAACGUUGGACACAGAAAUCUAGGGUUUGUCCUUUU